RNAcentral lists this ribosomal RNA (483 nucleotides) under uncultured bacterium. Its description in RNAcentral is "partial 16S ribosomal RNA". It matches the Rfam family "Bacterial small subunit ribosomal RNA", at positions 28 to 523 of the family's 1533-position model. The record is from RNAcentral.
GACGAACGCUGGCGGCGUGCUUAACACAUGCAAGUCGAACGAUGAAGCUGGAGCUUGCUCCGGUGGAUUAGUGGCGAACGGGUGAGUAACACGUGAGCAAUCUGCCCUUGACUCUGGGAUAACUGCGGGAAACUGUAGCUAAUACCGGAUACGAGACCUGAAGGCAUCUUCGGGUCUGGAAAGAAUUUCGGUCAAGGAUGAGCUCGCGGCUUAUCAGCUAGUUGGUGAGGUAAAGGCUCACCAAGGCGACGACGGGUAGCCGGCCUGAGAGGGUGACCGGCCACACUGGGACUGGGACACGGCCCAGACUCCUACGGGAGGCAGGAGUGGGGAAUAUUGCACAAUGGGCGCAAGCCUGAUGUAGCAACGCCGCGUGAGGGAUGACGGCCUUCGGGUUGUAAACCUCUUUUAGCAGGGAAGAAGCGAAAGUGACGGUACCUGCAGAAAGAGCACCGGCUAACUACGUGCCAGCCGCCGCCGUAA